This is a long non-coding RNA of Zophobas morio, 1599 nucleotides long. RefSeq lists it as uncharacterized. NCBI's taxonomy places the organism in Eukaryota, Metazoa, Arthropoda, Insecta, Coleoptera, Tenebrionidae. The transcript has 2 exons. The record is from RefSeq and is a predicted model, not a curated record.
CCCCGAAUGACAUUUGUUUAUUUAGGUUAUGUUUUGAAUUUUCAUCGACAAUUUUCCGCUGAAUUCUUGGGUGGGACAAAAUGCCGCUCUGAAAUAUUCCCACAACCAUGCCCACAUGAACUCAUUGCCCAACAACGUUCACACUUGCAAAAUUUGUCCAUUCUUCUCCACAUCAGAGUUCCGAAUGGUAAACCACAUGAGAACCCACCGUUGGCCGUUAACUCAGUUCAGCUGCGAAAAAUCCAACCUUGAUUUAUACUUUUGCAAGGAUUGCAACUUCCAAACCGACCUAACCUUACUUUUGAAAAAACACAUCAAAAAAAUACCACCGCUCCCAUCCACAAAACAAACACAACCCGCAAGAAGAAGACGAAAUUCGGAGUUAUAUUUGCAAACAAUGUAGUUUUGAAACGCAUUUUUUGUUGAAAUGGUGGCAACAUGCUCAAAUGUGCCCAAAAAAUAACGCAAAACGUGAAAUAAGUUGGUAUCAAUACAAAAACUGUUCACACAAAAGUGCCAACUUGAUAAAAACGCAUAAAUGCGACUAUGAAAUCAAGGAUUUAAGUGAAGAUGGUGUGAAAUGGCACAAAUGCAACCAUUGUUUGUUCAAGACACUGAGAAAAGAUGCUUUGAAAAGACAUAUGGUUAAUAUUCAUUUCAGUGAAAAUCACUCUGACUGGCAUCAAUGUGAUAAAUGUCCAUUCAAAGCCAAAUUUCACUAUAUGCUAAACAGACACAUACGUAAGCGGCAUUUACAGACCACAGAGAAAGCGACUUUCAUCUGGUACAAAUGUGAUCAUUGUCAAUUGAAAACAGCUUCCUUGGACUUUUUAAACAGCCAUGUUAGCGAAAAACACAAAAUUAAAGCAGACGCUGAAUAUAAGUGUGAACAAUGUUCCUACAAAGCAAUGCGAAAAAAUCUUCUGACACGUCACAUCAGGAACUUGCACCAACGCGACCAGCUUAAGCAGUUUCAAUGUGACCAGUGUUCAUACAAAUCAACAAGAAAUUACAUACUACCUGAAACGUCAUACAUUGAACAUGCACGAACCCAACCGGAACAAGUGGUUUCAGUGUGACCAAUGUUUAUACAAAACAACAAAGAGGGAGGAACUGACUCUUCACACCAUGAACAGGCACCAACGUGAUCAGAUUAAGCAGUUUCAGUGCAACCAGUGUUUGUACAAAACAACACGAAAAUAUCAUCUCACACGUCACACAUUGAGCGUGCACCAACGUCAACAAACUAAGCAGUUUCAAUGUGACCAGUGUUCAUACAAAUCAUCAAAAAAAAUGCAUCUGAUUCUUCACAUCAUGAAUGUGCACCAACGCGGUCAGACUAAGCAGUUUCAAUGUGACCAAUGUUGUACCAAACAACACAAAAACAUCAUUUGACGCGUCAUACCAUGAACAUGCACCAACGCGACCGAAUUAAGCAGUUUCAGUGUGACCAGUGUCCGUACAAUUCAACGAGGAAUGAUCAUCUGAAACGUCACGUAGUGAAUAUGCACGAACCCGACCGAAACAAGUAUUGAUUUGUUUUUAAUAACUUUUUUGUUUCUAGGCAAAAAUUAUUCCUUAAAUAUUAUUUAAUACUUU